CUGAAAAUGUUUAGAAUUUGAGUCUGAAAAUUAAACAAACAAAUGAUUAGAAAAAAUGGAAAUAAAAUUGAUUUGAAAAGAAGGAGAUUGAAAUAAGUGGAGAUAGAUUUAGCCAAAUUUUUUUUAUGGAUUUUUGAAGGAGAAAAGUCGAAUAUUGUUCUAAAAAAAAAUAAUAAUAAAGAGAGAUGGGAAAAUGAUAAAAAUGA
RNAcentral lists this long non-coding RNA (206 nucleotides) under Gossypium barbadense (sea-island cotton). RNAcentral describes it as "long non-coding RNA (GBAR_LNC019710)". Lineage: Eukaryota; Viridiplantae; Streptophyta; Magnoliopsida; Malvales; Malvaceae. The record is from RNAcentral.